GACGAACGCUGGCGGCGUGCUUAACACAUGCAAGUCGAACGCUGAGGCUCAGCUUGCUGGGUGGAUGAGUGGCGAACGGGUGAGUAACACGUGAGUAACCUGCCCUCUUCUUUGGGAUAACGCCCGGAAACGGGUGCUAAUACUGGAUAUUCACUGAUUCUCGCAUGGGGGUUGGUGGAAAGGUUUUUUCUGGUGGGGGAUGGGCUCGCGGCCUAUCAGCUUGUUGGUGGGGUGAUGGCCUACCAAGGCUUUGACGGGUAGCCGGCCUGAGAGGGUGACCGGUCACAUUGGGACUGAGAUACGGCCCAGACUCCUACGGGAGGCAGCAGUGGGGAAUAUUGCACAAUGGGCGAAAGCCUGAUGCAGCGACGCCGCGUGAGGGAUGGAGGCCUUCGGGUUGUAAACCUCUUUCGCUCAUGGUCAAGCCGCAGCUUUGGGUUGUGGUGAGGGUAGUGGGUAAAGAAGCGCCGGCUAACUACGUG
RNAcentral lists this ribosomal RNA (482 nucleotides) under uncultured bacterium. RNAcentral describes it as "partial 16S ribosomal RNA". It matches the Rfam family "Bacterial small subunit ribosomal RNA", at positions 28 to 507 of the family's 1533-position model. The record is from RNAcentral.